UAGAGUUUGAUCAUGGCUCAGGAUGAACGCUAGCGGCAGGCUUAACACAUGCAAGUCGAGGGGCAGCGCGAUGUAGCAAUACAUUGGUGGCGACCGGCGCACGGGUGCGUAACACGUAUGGAACUUACCCUUUACUGGGAGAUAGCCCGGAGAAAUCCGGAUUAAUAUCCCAUAACAAUCGGAGUGGCAUCACUCUGUUUUAAAAGCUCAGGCGGUAAAGGAUGGCCAUGCGCACGAUUAGCUAGUAGGUGAGGUAACGGCUCACCUAGGCUACGAUCGUUAGGGGGCCUGAGAGGGUUAUCCCCCGCACUGGUACUGAGACACGGACCAGACUCCUACGGGAGGCAGCAGUGAGGAAUAUUGCGCAAUGGRRGSMAMYUYKRASGCAGCCAUGCCGCGUGCAGGAAGAAGGCCCUACGGGUUGUAAACUGCUUUUAUCAGGGAAGAAACCCCUUUAGGUGUAAAGGGUUGACGGUACCUGAGGAAUAAGCACCGGCUAACUCCGUGCCAGCCGCCGCGGUAAUUC
RNAcentral lists this ribosomal RNA (526 nucleotides) under uncultured Chryseobacterium sp. RNAcentral's name for it is "bacterial SSU rRNA". It matches the Rfam family "Bacterial small subunit ribosomal RNA", at positions 1 to 526 of the family's 1533-position model. The record is from RNAcentral. Lineage: Bacteria; Pseudomonadati; Bacteroidota; Flavobacteriia; Flavobacteriales; Weeksellaceae.